This 253-nucleotide ribosomal RNA is filed under the name uncultured bacterium. Its description in RNAcentral is "partial 16S ribosomal RNA". It matches the Rfam family "Bacterial small subunit ribosomal RNA", at positions 524 to 776 of the family's 1533-position model. The record is from RNAcentral.
UACGUAGGGUGCGAGCGUUAAUCGGAAUUACUGGGCGUAAAGCGUGCGCAGGCGGUUUUGUAAGUCUGUCGUGAAAUCCCCGGGCUCAACCUGGGAAUUGCGAUGGAGACUGCAAGGCUAGAAUCUGGCAGAGGGGGGUAGAAUUCCACGUGUAGCAGUGAAAUGCGUAGAGAUGCGGAGGAACACCGAUGGCGAAGGCAGCCCCCUGGGCUAACACUGACGCUCAGGCACGAAAGCGUGGGGAGCAAACAGG